RNAcentral lists this long non-coding RNA (496 nucleotides) under Mytilus galloprovincialis (Mediterranean mussel). Lineage: Eukaryota; Metazoa; Mollusca; Bivalvia; Mytilida; Mytilidae. The record is from RNAcentral.
UAAUAAAAUUGAGAAUAGAAAUGGGGAAUGUGCCAAAGAGACAACAACCCGACCAUAGAAAAAAAAAAAACAACAGCAGAAGGUCACCAACAGGUCUUCAAUGUAGCGAGAUAUUCCCGCACCCGGAGGCGUCCUUCAGCUGGCCCCUAAACAAAUAUAUACUAGUUCAGUGAUAAUGAACGCCAUACUAAUUUCCAAAUUGUACACAAGAAACUAAAAUUAAAAUAAUGCAAGACUAACAAAGGCCAGAGGCUCCUGACUUAAGACUGGCGCAAAAAUGCGGCGGGGUUGAACAUGUUUGUGAGAUCUCAACCCUCCCCCUAUACCUCUUGCCAAUGUAGAUAAGUAAACGCACAACAAUACGCACAUUAAAAUUCAGUCCAAGAGAAGUCCGAGUCUGAUGUCAAAAGAUGUAACCAAAGAAAAUAAACAAAAUGACAAUAAUACAUAAAUAACAACAGACUACUAGCAGUUAACUGACAUGCAAGCUCCAGAC